This 493-nucleotide ribosomal RNA is filed under the name uncultured bacterium. RNAcentral's name for it is "partial 16S ribosomal RNA". It matches the Rfam family "Bacterial small subunit ribosomal RNA", at positions 29 to 523 of the family's 1533-position model. The record is from RNAcentral.
AUUGAACGCUGGCGGCAUGCUUUACACAUGCAAGUCGAACGGUAACAGGUUAAGCUGACGAGUGGCGAACGGGUGAGUAAUGCAUCGGAACGUGCCCGAUCGUGGGGGAUAACGCAGCGAAAGCUGCGCUAAUACCGCAUACGAUCUGAGGAUGAAAGCGGGGGACCGUAAGGCCUCGCGCGAUCGGAGCGGCCGAUGUCAGAUUAGGUAGUUGGGGGGGUAAAGGCUCACCAAGCCGACGAUCUGUAGCUGGUCUGAGAGGACGACCAGCCACACUGGGACUGAGACACGGCCCAGACUCCUACGGGAGGCAGCAGUGGGGAAUUUUGGACAAGGGGCGAAAGCCUGAUCCAGCAAUGCCGCGUGCAGGAAGAAGGCCUUCGGGUUGUAAACUGCUUUUGUACGGAGCGAAAAGGCUCUCUCUAAUACAGGGGGCUCAUGACGGUACCGUAAGAAUAAGCACCGGCUAACUACGUGCCAGCAGCCGCCGUAA